UGUAUUGAAAACCUAAUUCUCCAUCUCUUCACACAGCUCCGCUUCCUUCUAACCUAAAUCCUUCAGCCGCAUCUAUCUCUCCAUCUGAUCGAUCUGAUCUCUGAAAAUGGUCCAUGAUCUUACUGCUCUUGAUCCUCGGUGUCGAUUUCAGGUAUGCACAGAUGAUGAAGGAGAUGAAGAUGACGACGAUAUUUGCCACCUGCGUCAUUUUAGGAUUUCAUAUUUUCAACUCUUCGCUUUCGUCGUUCUAGGGUUUCAAGUUUGCACCUCUUAUUGGGAUUUCAUUGGUAAUCUUCACAAAAUUGCUUUUUUUAAUGAUCAAGGUUUUUUUUUUGGUUUCGUCUUGAAAGUCAUCAAGUGAUAUAGAAUAACCAAAAUCAAGUGAUAUUGUUAUGGGUUUUCUUCGUUUAUUUUAUGGGCGUGAGAUUGACAGAAAGGAUGUUGUAGGGUUUCCCAUUCGUUUAAGAAUGCCCAUUGAUUAAAUACCCAUGGAGACUGUUGAACAUCGGUAAUGGCCAAAUUAGAAAUACCCAGAUGGGUUUUUGAGGAAAUUGAUCAAAAAUAUAAUCUUGGUUUCGUCAAUUGAAUCUCCAUUUUCAUAUCGAAACCACUUAAAACUGAAACGAGGACAUGGAGCAACCACCGACACCAUAAGAACCAAAUACCAUAUCAUGAUCCUCCUCUCCGUUCAAGAUAAGCAUUCUCUGAUCAUCUUCAAGAUAACUUAUGUUAUUUUAUUCUAAUAUUGGUUUUGAUGUAGGUGGUUGGUCAAUGAAGUACGAGAAACUUAACCUAAGGUCAUUCCUGAAGCAUUAGGAGUUACUAUCACUAAGGAAUACCAUGUCAAUUCUCUUGCCGUUCCUGGAAAAGCCAAAGAAGCUAUCAGAGGCAUUACUUAACUUACUCAUAGAGACGGCCGGAAUAUGGUGAUUGGCGCAAAAUCCAUUCAACUUGAUCCUCUUCUUAGACCAAUAGAUCAUCAUGUCGAUUGUGAAGUAGCAAGAAUUACUACACCACUUUAUUAGAGUAUCCGUGGCAUCAUGUCUUUCUGAAGUAGCAAGAAUUACUACACCAGAACCACCUUAUAGGGAUGAAUCUAUCAAGGAAAUCUUCCAGCUAAAUGUUGGCGUUUGGGUAAUUGUCAAAUGUGACGAGUUAAAGUUAUCAUAAAGCCAUUAAUACUUUGGAGGAUGGUGGAUCAAUGAAGAAGCAAAAAUAUGGUGGAUCCAGAGGUUAUUUGCAGUUGAGACAGUUAGAUGAUUCCUUCCCUUUUUUCCAACUCCAUGUCGCCUGCAAGUCAUAGCCUCCACCUACAACCUUUGAUAUCCUUCCUAUUUGACGGGCACAUAAUCAAAGACAGAGAAAGAAAGCUCUCUUUCUUCCAACUUUUGAUAUCCUGCCUAUUUGCAACAGAAUCCAUGUUCAACGAUAUCUGCUUCUCCAGCGAACUACGCCUCUUCCCUGGUGCACACCAGAAUACCAUAAUCCGCAUCCAUUCUCCCCGUUUAACCUAAUUCAAUAUAUAGCAAACCGAGACUUUUAUGUUGGUGAUGCUGCUGGAAGAAUAGAUUAUCAUAGUGACACGGACAAGAAGUUUGAAGAGACAAUUGGAUUGAAGUUUUAUCUUCCUAAGGAAUACUUUGAUGCUUGAAGAAGGAUUUUACGACGAGCACAAGCCUACAAUUUUGUCUUUAAAUAUUGCGAUUCAACUAAUAUGGGUAUAUAUGUUUAUGAUCUCGUUUGUGUUCAUCCCUCCAAGUUGUUUGACGGAACAGAUCUUCAUCCCACCAACAAAAUAUUUCUUACUUCUCACAGUGAGUUAUCUCCGUUGAGGACUCCAAACGCCUAAAUGCAGUUGAAUCUAGCUUCCAAGACCCUGAAGCCAUUGUGAAAGCAAUCGGGAACGCCACUAAAGUCGUACUCAUAAUUAGUCCAUGUUAAAAUGGUCCAACCACAAAGGUCACCCCAGCAGAAGCCCUACAGUUAAUCCUAGGUAUAGGUAUCUGGACCAAUUCUAGAUGAAAACUAGGUGAGAAGCAUGGUGAAUGAGAUAACAAGGGUGAAGCUUCAACAAGUGUUUUUUAAUUUCUAUCCAUGAACACUUUGCUUUCUGAACACAUAGGCAUGGGUCUGUUUGGGAAGACAGAGUCAAAGAUAAUAGAUAUAACAAGGGCGUGUAUUGAAUUAGUAUUACUUCUAUAUGUUUCGAGGGUUAAUUUAAAAUUUACUUGACAAUACUUCUAUUCAAGUUUUCAUUCAUAGGAAUACCAUGAACCCAAGUGAUUCUCUUUUUUAAACAAGUAAUGUUUUGUUUAGAGUGCAGAUAAAAUUUACUUACGGCAUUAUGACAUUAAAAGACCCGUCCACCGGACAGGUAUAGAAGAUAGGAGAUAGGGAUCAUCGAGCUCGAUGCUGCCACUGAUUCUAUAUACGAUUCGUGAUGUUUUAUCACCAUUCCGGUUUGAUGUUCCACCCGAGACCAAUUAAUCAUCGUCAAAUUCGUUUGAGAUUAUUUCGCUACUGCUAUUUUGAAGAUUAGAGAUUAAUCGAGUAAAAGACAAGAAACAUAUAAAUAUUGGCUAGGAUGAUUCGUGGCGCUACACAGGAAAUUUGGUGGAGUCAGGUAUGUGACUAUUUUUUUUGAACUAUAUAAACAUUAUUAAGGAUUCAUGUUUAUGCUUUUACAAGGCAAUCAUGUAUGGGAAAAUAUAUAACACCUGUUUUUGUUUGUUUUUUUUUGCUCUCACAAAACCUUCUCAUAUUAAGCGUUGGCAAUCAUGCUAAAAAAUCUUUGUCCAAAACAUAUGUGUUUUAGUCUAUUUUUCAAUUCCAAAUAGCCCGAUACGGCGAUACCUGGUAUGAAGAUCAUAUGAAGAGCGCCAAAGAAACCAAAUUUAGCAGGUGCGAGAUGCAAGAAAUUUGUUUGACUAGGGCAAUGUUCACUCUUCUAGGGGUGGAUAUUGAUGAAUACCAGAUGCUGUGUGUUAAGGAAAAGCAAAGAAAGAGUUUGCAUCUGGCAUUUGCAAGAUUUUUGAAAUAACAAAGUGGGUUCAUUGUAUUUUAAUAAUGUGUUUUGAUGGAUUGAAGAUCAAUAUACAUCAAUUGAGUAUGAGUAUGCCGAUGACACACCUUUAGUGAAAUUGAAAAUCAUGCUUUAUCAAGAACAUAAGCAUGACUUAGGGAUUGUCUACAAGUGGUUCGUAUACAAUUCGGCCACCACCUGUAGGUGGAUCCAUUGGUCCUCAAAGGUUUGGAACAAAGUAUUCAAUGUAGUUUUGGGCUGCAGUUACACGACAAGAUGAACAACCAUUCAAGCAACCGGCUUCAAGCAAUCGACAAUAUCGUCUGGUGGGUCUUGCUUCGUUGCCACAAUUAUGUUGUACAUAGAUUCUAACAUAAUUAUGUAUCAAAAGAUCCACAAUUUCGGUAUUUAACCAUUAUGCAACCAAUAAAUUUUUUAUUUAUUCUCAAACUUUCCUUAUGAUUA
Long non-coding RNA from Helianthus annuus (common sunflower), 3487 nucleotides. RefSeq lists it as uncharacterized. The transcript is spliced from 15 exons. The record is from RefSeq and is a predicted model, not a curated record. Lineage: Eukaryota; Viridiplantae; Streptophyta; Magnoliopsida; Asterales; Asteraceae.